CUUGGCCGAGAGGUCCGGGUAAUCUUUGAAUCUGCAUCGUGACGGGGAUAGAUUAUUGCAAUUAUUAAUCUUCAACGAGGAAUGCCUAGUAGGCGCAAGUCAUCAGCUUGCGUCGAUUACGUCCCUGCCCUU
Molecule: ribosomal RNA, 132 nt
Filed under: uncultured eukaryote
Lineage: Eukaryota
Description: partial 18S ribosomal RNA
Rfam family: Eukaryotic small subunit ribosomal RNA
Source: RNAcentral